UACGUAGGGGGCAAGCGUUGUCCGGAUUUAUUGGGCGUAAAGAGCGUGUAGGCGGCCUGGCAAGUCCGCUGUGAAAACUCGAGGCUCAACCUCGAGACGCCGGUGGAAACCGUAAAGCUAGAGUCCGGAAGAGGAGAGUGGAAUUCCUGGUGUAGCGGUGAAAUGCGCAGAUAUCAGGAGGAACACCCGUGGCGAAAGCGGCUCUCUGGUCCGGUACUGACGCUGAGGUGCGAAAGCGUGGGGAGCAAACAGG
Molecule: ribosomal RNA, 253 nt
Filed under: uncultured bacterium
Lineage: Bacteria
Description: partial 16S ribosomal RNA
Rfam family: Bacterial small subunit ribosomal RNA
Source: RNAcentral